This 339-nucleotide long non-coding RNA is filed under the name Elaeis guineensis (African oil palm). RNAcentral's name for it is "long non-coding RNA (EGUI_LNC009448)". The record is from RNAcentral. Lineage: Eukaryota; Viridiplantae; Streptophyta; Magnoliopsida; Arecales; Arecaceae.
AUAUUUAUGUUGUAGUCUUUGGUACCAGUUGAAUGCCUCAUCUUGUAACAAGUAAGCCGCAUACUAAAUGUUUUCAUCAUCAUGAUAUUCUUAGACAGCGAAGGCCUUUUCUAUCUCUAUAAUCCAAUUAUCAGCUUCCAAAGAUUUGAUAAUCCCCUUGAAAGCUAGUGGAGCUAUCUUUUUGAAUUUUGCGAUGUUGUUUCACUGCACUGACAGCUUUCCAUGGCCAUGUUGCUAUGGCAGAUGCUGAUGUUGUGGUGUAUCUCAAUGUGUCUAUUAGUUCAAAUAAUUACUGCUGUCUCUAUAUCACCCUAACUAGGGUUUGCAUUAAUCGAAUCG